RNAcentral lists this ribosomal RNA (787 nucleotides) under uncultured bacterium. RNAcentral describes it as "bacterial SSU rRNA". It matches the Rfam family "Bacterial small subunit ribosomal RNA", at positions 57 to 819 of the family's 1533-position model. The record is from RNAcentral.
GCAAGUAGGACGCACAGUUUAUACCGUAGCUUGCUACACCAUAGACUGUGAGUUGCGAACGGGUGAGUAAUGCGUAGGUAACCUGCCUAUUAGAGGGGGAUAACUAUUGGAAACGAUAGCUAAUACCGCAUAACAGUAUGUAACACAUGUUAGAUGCUUGAAAGAUGCAAUUGCAUCGCUAGUAGAUGGACCUGCGUUGUAUUAGCUAGUAGGUAGGGUAAUGGCCUACCUAGGCGACGAUACAUAGCCGACCUGAGAGGGUGAUCGGCCACACUGGGACUGAGACACGGCCCAGACUCCUACGGGAGGCAGCAGUAGGGUAUCUUCGGCAAUGGGGGGAACCCUGACCGAGCAACGCCGCGUGAGUGAAGAAGGUUUUCGGAUCGUAAAGCUCUGUUGUUAAGGAAGAACGAGUGUGAGAAUGGAAAGUUCAUACUGUGACGGUACUUAACCAGAAAGGGACGGCUAACUACGUGCCAGCAGCCGCGGUAAUACGUAGGUCCCGAGCGUUGUCCGGAUUUAUUGGGCGUAAAGCGAGCGCAGGCGGUUAGAAAAGUCUGAAGUGAAAGGCAGUGGCUCAACCAUUGUAGGCUUUGGAAACUGUUUAACUUGAGUGCAGAAGGGGAGAGUGGAAUUCCAUGUGUAGCGGUGAAAUGCGUAGAUAUAUGGAGGAACACCGGUGGCGAAAGCGGCUCUCUGGUCUGUAACUGACGCUGAGGCUCGAAAGCGUGGGGAGCGAACAGGAUUAGAUACCCUGGUAGUCCACGCCGUAAACGAUGAGUGCUAG